GCUCACCUACGGGAGGCAGCAGUCGGGAAUAUUGCGCAAUGGAGGAAACUCUGACGCAGUGACGCCGCGUAUAGGAAGAAGGUUUUCGGAUUGUAAACUAUUGUCGUGAGGGAAGAAAUUGACAGUACCUCAGGAGGAAGCUCCGGCUAACUAUGUGCCAGCAGCCGCGGUAAUACAUAGGGAGCAAGCGUUAUCCGGAUUUAUUGGGUGUAAAGGGUGCGUAGACGGGAAAUUGAAUUAGUUGUGAAGUCCCUCGGCUUAACUGAGGAACUGCAACUAAAACUGAUUUUCUUGAGUACUGGAGG
This 305-nucleotide ribosomal RNA is filed under the name uncultured bacterium. Its description in RNAcentral is "bacterial SSU rRNA". It matches the Rfam family "Bacterial small subunit ribosomal RNA", at positions 333 to 655 of the family's 1533-position model. The record is from RNAcentral.